This 379-nucleotide transfer-messenger RNA is filed under the name Acidobacteria bacterium 13_1_20CM_3_53_8. It matches the Rfam family "transfer-messenger RNA". Rfam says of the family: Bacterial tmRNA, also known as 10Sa RNA or SsrA, is named for its dual tRNA and mRNA-like properties. RNAcentral also lists the same sequence under 1 other name. The record is from RNAcentral. Lineage: Bacteria; Pseudomonadati; Acidobacteriota.
GGGGGCGACAGGCUUCGACAGAAGUCUGAACGCUCGAUAGGAUGCAUGCCGGGCUUACCACUUGCAGCUCGUAAAAAAGCAUGGGGAAACACAAUUGCCAAUACUAAUCAAUUGGCUCUCGCUGCCUAAUUCAGGCACCGAGCGUCUCGCCGUAAGUUGCUCAAGCGAGCGGAGUGAGAUGUCACCUUAGUUGAGCUGGCCUGCGCUUUCGGUCCGUGAGCGCAGGCGAGAUUAAAGUCGGGCUAGUCUUCAACAGAGGUCUUAGUCGUUUCACUUACUCUGUUGCGGGCGAAAUCUUUCAGAAAGAGAAGCGGCUAAGCAUGUAGAUUCCCUCGGGGUUGACUUUUGGAUCCGGGUUCGAUUCCCGGCGCCUCCACCA